RNAcentral lists this ribosomal RNA (497 nucleotides) under uncultured bacterium. RNAcentral's name for it is "partial 16S ribosomal RNA". It matches the Rfam family "Bacterial small subunit ribosomal RNA", at positions 28 to 507 of the family's 1533-position model. The record is from RNAcentral.
GAUGAACGCUGGCGGCGUGCCUAAUACAUGCAAGUCGAGCGAACGGACGAGAAGCUUGCUUCUCCGAUGUUAGCGGCGGACGGGUGAGUAACACGUGGAUAACCUACCUAUAAGACUGGGAUAACUUCGGGAAACCGGAGCUAAUACCGGAUAAUAUUUUGAACCGCAUGGUUCAAAGGUGAAAGACGGUCUUGCUGUCACUUAUAGAUGGAUCCGCGCUGCAUUAGCUAGUUGGUAAGGUAACGGCUUACCAAGGCAACGAUGCAUAGCCGACCUGAGAGGGUGAUCGGCCACACUGGAACUGAGACACGGUCCAGACUCCUACGGGAGGCAGCAGUAGGGAAUCUUCCGCAAUGGGCGAAAGCCUGACGGAGCAACGCCGCGUGAGUGAUGAAGGUCGUCGGAUCGUAAAACUCUGUUAUUAGGGAAGAACAUAUGUGUAAGUAACUGUGCACAUCUUGACGGUACCUAAUCAGAAAGCCACGGCUAACUACGUG